AAGGGUAUAGCUUAGGGGUAAAGUGCAUGCCUAGCAUACAUAAGGUCCUGGGUUCAAUCCCUGGUACCUCAA
This 72-nucleotide transfer RNA is filed under the name Camelus bactrianus (Bactrian camel). It matches the Rfam family "tRNA". Rfam says of the family: Transfer RNA (tRNA) molecules are approximately 80 nucleotides in length. Their secondary structure includes four short double-helical elements and three loops (D, anti-codon, and T loops). The record is from Rfam by way of RNAcentral. RNAcentral also lists the same sequence under 1 other name. Lineage: Eukaryota; Metazoa; Chordata; Mammalia; Artiodactyla; Camelidae.